Molecule: long non-coding RNA, 772 nt
Organism: Chenopodium quinoa (quinoa)
Lineage: Eukaryota; Viridiplantae; Streptophyta; Magnoliopsida; Caryophyllales; Amaranthaceae
Exons: 3
Source: RefSeq, a predicted model, not a curated record
UUUACCGAAGAAAGGAAAAGGAGAAGAGAAAAAUGGUGGUAAGUAGUAGCAGUGCAUUCAGAUCUUCAUUGAGAUCAUUUUUAUUACCAACGAAAGCGACGAAACUAUCAUUAGGCAACAGAAUUACCCUGCUUCCACUUUUUAAUGUUGCUGCUCUUUCAUCUCAAGUUACUUAUCCUAUCAAGUCAUAGAUGUCACUUUGUGUUGGAACACAUCUUAUACCUCAUCCAAACAAGAUUGAAAGGGGAGGAGAAGAUGUUUUUUCAUAAGCAGCCAUGGCGGUGGAGCUAUAGCUGUUGCAGAUGGAGUGUCAGGGUAUGCAGUAUGCAUACUUCCUUACUCUUUACUAACUGAUACUGCCUGAAUAGUCGAAUAUAUAUACUUUGUGUUGCGACUGCUGCCAUUACUGUGGCAGGUGGGCAGAACGCGAUGUUGAUCCUGCAUUGUUUUCUAGGGAGCUGAUGGCACAUGCAUCAUCAGUGGUGGAUAGCAGUGAUUGAUCAAGCUAGAAAUUCCUCUGUUUUCAAAGCUUAUCUUUACCUUAUUGGUAUUAAUUUUAAGAUUUUGAGAAUCCAAAAGCAAGCACUAAAUCAAUUAAAAUGAAACAAAUUGUUUUUGUCCAUUACAAUUCUCUUUAAUAUAGUUUGAGGAGCUAUUCAUAGUAUUUGUGCAUUCAAAUAACGGAAUAUAUGACAACUCAACAAUUGCUUAAUAUAAAUACUUCCUUCUCCGUUUCUUUUUAGUUUUAAUAUUUGCUACAAAUAAAAACAAG